UCGCGGCUUACCACCGGCAGUCCUCUUAGAGUCCCCAGCAUUACCUGAUGGCAACUAAGAGCAGGGGUUGCGCUCGUUGCGGCACUUAAGCCAACACCUCACGGCACGAGCUGACGACAGCCAUGCAGCACCUGUGCUGGCCCCUUACGGACACGGGCUUUCACCCGCUUUAACCAGCAUGUCAAGCCCAGGUAAGGUUCUUCGCGUUGCAUCGAAUUAAGCCACAUGCUCCGCCGCUUGUGCGGGCCCCCGUCAAUUCCUUUGAGUUUCAACCUUGCGGUCGUACUUCCCAGGUGGAUCACUUAAUGCUUUCGCUUAGUCGCUGACUGUGUAUCGCCAACAACGAGUGAUCAUCGUUUACGGUGCGGACUAC
This 373-nucleotide unclassified non-coding RNA is filed under the name uncultured bacterium. RNAcentral describes it as "contains 16S-23S intergenic spacer region". The record is from RNAcentral.